GGACGAACGCUGGCGGCGUGCUUAACACAUGCAAGUCGAACGGUGACCUUGGAGCUUGCUCCAAGUGAUCAGUGGCGAACGGGUGAGUAACACGUGAGUAACCUGCCCCAGACUCUGGAAUAACCCCGGGAAACCGGAGCUAAUACCGGAUACGAGACGGAGCCGCAUGGCUACCGUCUGGAAAGUUUUUCGGUCUGGGAUGGACUCGCGGCCUAUCAGCUUGUUGGUGAGGUAACGGCUCACCAAGGCGACGACGGGUAGCCGGCCUGAGAGGGCGACCGGCCACACUGGGACUGAGACACGGCCCAGACUCCUACGGGAGGCAGCAGUGGGGAAUAUUGCACAAUGGGCGAAAGCCUGAUGCAGCGACGCCGCGUGAGGGAUGAAGGCCUUCGGGUUGUAAACCUCUUCCAGCAGGGAAGAAGCGAAAGUGACGGUACCUGCAGAAGAAGCACCGGCUAACUACGUGCCAGCAGCCGCGGUAAUACGUAGGGUGCGAGCGUUGUCCGGAAUUAUUGGGCGUAAAGAGCUUGUAGGCGGUUUGUCACGUCUGCUGUGAAAAUCCGAGGCUCAACCUCGGACUUGCAGUGGGUACGGGCAGACUAGAGUGUGGUAGGGGAGACUGGAAUUCCUGGUGUAGCGGUGGAAUGCGCAGAUAUCAGGAGGAACACCGAUGGCGAAGGCAGGUCUCUGGGCCACUACUGACGCUGAGAAGCGAAAGCAUGGGGAGCGAACAGGAUUAGAUACCCUGGUAGUCCAUGCCGUAAACGUUGGGCGCUAGGUGUGGGACUCAUUCCACGAGUUCCGUGCCGCAGCUAACGCAUUAAGCGCCCCGCCUGGGGAGUACGGCCGCAAGGCUAAAACUCAAAGGAAUUGACGGGGGCCCGCACAAGCGGCGGAGCAUGUGGAUUAAUUCGAUGCAACGCGAAGAACCUUACCAAGGCUUGACAUAUACCGGAAACAUCCAGAGAUGGGUGCCCCGCAAGGUCGGUAUACAGGUGGUGCAUGGUUGUCGUCAGCUCGUGUCGUGAGAUGUUGGUUAAGUCCCGCAACGAGCGCAACCCUCGUUCUAUGUUGCCAGCGCGUCAUGGCGGGGACUCAUAGGAGACUGCCGGGGUCAACUCGGAGGAAGGUGGGGAUGACGUCAAAUCAUCAUGCCCCUUAUGUCUUGGGCUUCACACAUGCUACAAUGGCCGGUACAAAGGGCUGCGAAAUCGCAAGAUGGAGCGAAUCCCAAAAAACCGGUCUCAGUUCGGAUUGGGGUCUGCAACUCGACCCCAUGAAGUCGGAGUCGCUAGUAAUCGCAGAUCAGCAACGCUGCGGUGAAUACGUUCCCGGGCCUUGUACUC
Molecule: ribosomal RNA, 1349 nt
Filed under: metagenome
Description: bacterial SSU rRNA
Rfam family: Bacterial small subunit ribosomal RNA
Source: RNAcentral